RNAcentral lists this ribosomal RNA (427 nucleotides) under uncultured bacterium. RNAcentral's name for it is "bacterial SSU rRNA". It matches the Rfam family "Bacterial small subunit ribosomal RNA", at positions 958 to 1398 of the family's 1533-position model. The record is from RNAcentral.
AACGCGAAGAACCUUACCCAGGUUUGACAUCCUCGGAAUUUCUCCGAAAGGAGAAAGUGCUUUAUUGAGCCGAGUGACAGGUGCUGCAUGGCCGUCGUCAGCUCGUGUCGUGAGAUGUUUGGUUAAGUCCAUCAACGAGCGCAACCCUUAUGUUUAGUUGAAUUUUUCUAAACAGACUGCCCUGGUAACAGGGAGGAAGGAGGGGAUGAUGUCAGGUCAGUAUUGCCCUUACACCUGGGGCUACAAACACGCUACAAUGGCCGGUACAAAGGGCAGCCAAGUCGCGAGACGGAGCAAAUCCCAUCAAAGCCGGUCUCAGUUCGGAUUGCAGGCUGAAACUCGCCUGCAUGAAGCCGGAAUCGCUAGUAAUGGUAGGUCAGCUAUACUACCGUGAAUACGUUCCCGGGCCUUGUACACACCGAGUAUA